Molecule: non-coding RNA, 204 nt
Filed under: Enterococcus villorum
Lineage: Bacteria; Bacillati; Bacillota; Bacilli; Lactobacillales; Enterococcaceae
Description: T-box sequence
Rfam family: T-box leader
About the family: Uncharged tRNA acts as the effector for transcription antitermination of genes in the T-box leader family.
Source: RNAcentral
UAACAGGCGUUGAUUAAAACACAGUAGUUAUUAAAGUCGAUGUUUCAGAAAGCUAGUGGGUGCUGCGAACUAGUACAUUCUUUAAAACGAAUUACAUUUUAGGAGCCUAUGGCAUGAAUAUGCCACGUGACAGCGUUAAAUGUUUGAGUGAUAUGCUUCAAUAAGCAUAUAAAUUGGGUGGUACCGCGAUAUUUCGUCCCUUGG